GUCGGCAAUUUCAUUCACAGCCCAAAACCCCUUCUUUUCUCCUUCCUCGUAAAAACUCAUUUCACGAUAAACCCCAAACCCCUUAAUCUCUCUCUCGUCCCGUGCUCGUUGCUCGCCGGAGUUGCGCCUUUCCUCGCCGGCGUCCUUGAAGCUCGUCGGAGACGCGUCUACUCCUCCACUUGCGCGAUGUUGCGGCUGUGAUAGAUACCCUGUUCGCGAUUUUUCUCUCUCCUCCUCUGUUCCGUGCUGCUGUUGUUAUUUGUGGUUGUUGUUGGUGAUUUUGCUGCUGCUGCUCUGAGUUGUUGUCGACGAACGGUCGCCGGAUUCCUACUGCCAGCGUCGCGUUGCUGCUGCUACUGCUUUGCGUCGCACCACGACGCAGCGAACCGCCGGAGCUCUCUGCUCCCUUGUUUGUCACUGCUCAAUAGAGUAGAGGUAUAAUAUACCUUUCCCUUUUUAUUUCUGAUUUUCUAUUUGUAAAUUAAGCCAAGUUGCUGUGGUUUGUUGUUGUAUUAGCGGUUGUUCUGUUGUUGUUCAUUGUUGUCUAAUGGUAUUGUUAUGAUGGUUGUUGUGGGGUGGUUGUUGCUUUUAUUUGUUGUUGUCGUUGUUGUUUUUCUGUUCUUUCUCUUCUUGACUUCUGUUGGUGUUGCUGCUACUUUCUUUUUCCUUCGCACUUUGAUGCUGCUACCACCUUUGGUGGUGGCCAUAUGUUGGUGACUCUGCCGCCAUAAUGUUGCUGCUGUUAUGUUAUUGUUGUUAAUGUGUCGUCGUCUUGGUGAAGCGUUAUGCCUAGUUAUGGUUAGUAAUCAGUAGGAGUAGUUUGAAGUUGAUUGGCAAGUUUAGUUAGUGUUAUAUUGUUUUUGGGAAAGAGAUAUGGGUCAUAUAAAUUCUUAUGUUAGUUUAAUAUAAUUCGUUAGUGAUUGUUACUACUAGUAAUAUGUUAGAUUGGAGUUGAUAUAUUUGAAGAUAAGUGUAGAGGUUAUUAAAUUAGUUAGUUUUUAUUUGUGGGAUUUAUUAGUUUGAUUAGCAUAGUGGUUGUAUUAAGAGAAGUUAAUUAGAUUAGUUAAGAUUGGUUUUUGAUUACUGUUAUUGUUAUGAGGUAAAUUGUUGGAGAAGGAUUAUGGAAUUGAAUUUCAUUUGGAGAUGAAGAUUAACAAAGGAGGUUAUGUUGGUGGAAUCUGAAUCGCAGUUCAGGUUUGAUAUUCAGAGCUCGGAAUUCGAAGUGGAGCAAGAUCAAGGUUUCAUAGUGGCUUAAGGAUUAAGCUUGUAUUUUAGAUAGUUGGUUUUUAGUAUUUCGUUGUAUAAUAUUUGGGAAUUUUGGUUCAAUUAUUGGUGUAUUUAAGGAUAUUUUUCCGCUGCAAGUUAAUUUAUUUAAGAGUUAAUUCUAGUUUAUGAA
Long non-coding RNA from Beta vulgaris subsp. vulgaris (sugar beet), 1396 nucleotides. RefSeq lists it as uncharacterized. NCBI's taxonomy places the organism in Eukaryota, Viridiplantae, Streptophyta, Magnoliopsida, Caryophyllales, Amaranthaceae. The transcript is spliced from 2 exons. The record is from RefSeq and is a predicted model, not a curated record.